Molecule: long non-coding RNA, 327 nt
Organism: Ailuropoda melanoleuca (giant panda)
Lineage: Eukaryota; Metazoa; Chordata; Mammalia; Carnivora; Ursidae
Exons: 4
Source: RefSeq, a predicted model, not a curated record
UUCAGAAGGAGUCAGGAAAGUCCACCUCUUCCAAGCAGACUGCCCGUACUGAGGGAACAAAGAAACAUCCACAAGAAUUCACUCUGGCUGGCAAAGGAUAAAGGAGGAUCAAGAGCAGAUACUGUAUCUGGAAGACUCCCACAAAAGCAGAGAGCCCAGAAAGAUGCAACACUUAGAAAAGACAUCAAAAUCGAAGCUGAAUAUUUGGAUUCAAACUGCAGAGGAAAAAAGGAGGAUAUUUUGGAGAAUCACAAGGGCCCAUUCACUGAGAUCCAUGGCCUAAACCAGCAAAUUUCCUUCCUGACUACCUGAAGAAUGCAGAAGGGG